GCGCUGAGUGAAGGCACUGUUUGUAGUGAAAACCUGUUUGACAACUCAAACACAAACAAUGAUGAUGGCAGUGACAAUACUUUAUUACCCGUGAGAUAAUUUUUGUGUAAAAGUACAGAGCUCAAACAUUGAUAAAAGGAUGAAAUCAUUUUCAUUACAUACAAUAAAUAACACACAUAUAACACGCUAACAAGGUAAGACAAACACUAGGAAUCAUUCAAAAGAUUAAUACGGGUGGGAACAAAGGAUAUCAUGGCACGAUUGGAUUUAAAACGGGGUAAAUUAUAACGGCGCCUAGAUGGCAGUAAUUUAUACUCAUAGAGGAUGGGAUGAUCUGGAUAGGAUAUAAUCUUACGGGCUGACUUGAGAACUCUUUCUGUUUCUGGUGGGACAAAGGGACAAUGUUCCAUACCAGCAUUGUACAGAAAAAAACAGAACGCGCGCAUGUCUGCCGACGGGCGUAUUGAUUAACUGUUUCGAAAAAGUACUGACUUUUCUGGAAAUCUCAAGUUCUCUUAAUCCGAAAUCGAAAGCAGUGCGCUAAUAUCGAAACAACAGUUACGUUCAUAUUGUUAUAUACGUUUCAACCACCUAUCAAGCAUAACGCAGAGGAAAUAGGUUUUAAACAUACAUUGAAUAUGCAAUGAUAAUCUAUCUAUACAUUGAUUUGACAUGCUUCUGUUGGACGUUUCUAUGUUUAUCACAGGUGCAUGUAGAAAGUUGAAAGCACAGUGACAUAACUACUAUAAACCGUUUGAAAAGCACCAAUUUACAUUUGCAUUGUCCUCAAUUACCUUUAUCUGAGAUUUUGUCAUGUUGCUUAAAGCGAUGGCCCGUUUGCAGAUCACUCUGUCCCGACACCAUUAGCAGCUCUCACCUGUGCAUAGCGGCCUUUCAACCACACCUUGAUAUACCACAUGCUGCACCCUGGCCAUUAUGUAGUCUAGCCAGUCACGACUGUCGACACGCAAAAUACUCUUCCUAAAAGCUAAAUUAUUGUUUGUCAAUCUGAAUUUUUGUCCAGACAAUUUAUUUAUUUACUCAAGAGGCCACAGGCCUACAGUACAUUACAAACAUCAUACUGUGAGUUACACAUUUACUGAAGUGCACUAUUUGUUUCUGUAUAACAUCGCAUGAUAAAUAAACAUAGACAGAUUCUGUAGUGCAUCAUGGAAUUGCUGUUUCAUUUAGACUAUCAUUUUAGAGAUACUGACAAUUGCAUUAUUGCAAAUGGACAAAAAUUAUGUAUAUAUUUCCAAUAAAAUGUACAUCUUUUUACGUGAAGGUAAACGUAAGUGCAAAAGAAUAUUCAUUCUCGUGUAUCCUCAGAAACAGAUUCAAUUAUCCGUAAAGUGCAAAUUACACGAAUGGAUCAAUGAAAAUAAGUGAUGACACCCGGUGUUCACGAAAAGGGUCAAUAUGCCCCGCCCCACCGGUAUCAAUCAAAACACAGCCUCUUUGUUUCCCUUAGAUU
This is a long non-coding RNA of Haliotis rubra (blacklip abalone), 1474 nucleotides long. RefSeq lists it as uncharacterized. The record is from RefSeq and is a predicted model, not a curated record. The transcript has 2 exons. Lineage: Eukaryota; Metazoa; Mollusca; Gastropoda; Lepetellida; Haliotidae.